Long non-coding RNA from Helianthus annuus (common sunflower), 1018 nucleotides. RefSeq lists it as uncharacterized. The transcript is spliced from 8 exons. Lineage: Eukaryota; Viridiplantae; Streptophyta; Magnoliopsida; Asterales; Asteraceae. The record is from RefSeq and is a predicted model, not a curated record.
UUCUUUUGUACGCUUUCUCUCUCAUCUCUCAUCAUUCAUUAUGUUGACCCUCUCUCUCCAAAGUUCAUCCGCAUUCUAAACAAAACCUAGAUCAAAAUUCCUCUGCCUCUUUAUCUCUCUCAAUCCUGUGUUAAAUCGAUCUUCAAGACGCAAUAAUCUUCCACUGACGUGAAUCGAUCUUUAUCUCUCUCAAUACUCUGCGACAAUCUUCAAUCGAUCUUCAUAUCCGAAUACCCUACUAUUCACGUUAAAGGUUUCGUUUUCCCAUCGAACUUGAAGGUUCAUGAUGUUACUUUUUCGCCUUUAUACUCUGAUGUUGAUUCGGUGGGGCCUUGUGAUUGGUCCGAUAGUGAUUCUGCCGAAAGCAGAGAUUGGGAGGUGCUCUUGCUUGAUGAUGGUCCUACAGGCGAUGAGUCAUAGGUAGGGGCUUCAGUGAAGAUGUAAUUGACCGGGAGCUUCGGUGCGCCUGAGGUUCGAAUUCUCCGAUGCUUGAGUUCAAUGGCUCCCUCACCGAUGUUACUUUCUCUAAUGCCAUGAACACACGUCCUAUUUUCAGGCUGGAUAAGAUACAAAUGAAAUAUAUGCCCAAAUCACUUUACUCCCUGCAGAUCAAAGUGAUCCUACAAGUCUUGAUGAAUGCCUAGCCAACCUCCGCAAGGCCAACCAUACACUCUUUCUGCAAAGUCUUCAUAACUUCAGAUAUGAGCAGACAUGGACAUGACUCAAGCUACUCCUACCCAAGACUUAUUAGCCCUUGAUCUACAUGGCACAGAGUGGAAAUUUAAGCAUAUCUUUAUGGGUCAACCAAGAAGGUAUCUACUUACAACAUGACGGAGUACCUUAGAUACUAGCAAGAGAUUAGUGCUUGGGGAUUCAAUGGAGAUCUAUAAUACUCAUGAGUUGGCUUUUCUUAUUUAUUAGGCCACUCGGUUCACUUAAGUUACGUUUUAAUGAGUUGUAAAUCUUUAUAGAUUUAUCCAACGUUGGAUAUUAAUAAAUGUUUAUUCUACGAUGUUUA